CGCCAGACGAAGUUCCGCCCCCAUUCAAUUUCAACGGGAGCACGCGGAGAAAUGCGCAGGGGAUUGUGGGAAGCACACAUCAUCCAGCCCGAGUUCACCGAUCUCUUCAACUACAGUGUACCUGUGGAACCAAGAAAGUCUGUUUGCCUACAGACACUUUGCAUUGGCAGCGCUAAGGGGUGUUAAGCCCCCAGAGCAGACUCGGAUCGAGCCAACCACAUCCCUGUGUCAACUCCCCCGCUUUCCCCAAGCAAUGUUGAUGUAUUUGAAGUGUUUCCAGUCGAUAAAGUAUGUUACAAUAUUA
Long non-coding RNA from Coregonus clupeaformis (lake whitefish), 304 nucleotides. RefSeq lists it as uncharacterized. The transcript has 2 exons. The record is from RefSeq and is a predicted model, not a curated record. Lineage: Eukaryota; Metazoa; Chordata; Actinopteri; Salmoniformes; Salmonidae.